AUUGAACGCUGGCGGCAGGCCUAACACAUGCAAGUCGAGCGGUAACAGAUCUAGCUUGCUAGAUGCUGACGAGCGGCGGACGGGUGAGUAAUGCAUAGGAAUCUGCCCGAUAGUGGGGGAUAACCUGGGGAAACCCAGGCUAAUACCGCAUACGUCCUACGGGAGAAAGGGGGCUCCGGCUCCCGCUAUUGGAUGAGCCUAUGUCGGAUUAGCUAGUUGGUGAGGUAAAGGCUCACCAAGGCUGCGAUCCGUAGCUGGUCUGAGAGGAUGAUCAGCCACAUCGGGACUGAGACACGGCCCGAACUCCUACGGGAGGCAGCAGUGGGGAAUAUUGGACAAUGGGGGCAACCCUGAUCCAGCCAUGCCGCGUGUGUGAAGAAGGCCCUCGGGUUGUAAAGCACUUUCAGCGAGGAAGAACGCCUAGCGGUUAAUACCCGCUAGGAAAGACAUCACUCGCAGAAGAAGCACCGGCUAACCCCGUGCCAGCAGCCGCGGUAAUACGGAGGGUGCAAGCGUUAAUCGGAAUUACUGGGCGUAAAGCGCGCGUAGGUGGCUUGAUAAGCCGGUUGUGAAAGCCCCGGGCUCAACCUGGGAACGGCAUCCGGAACUGUCAGGCUAGAGUGCAGGAGAGGAAGGUAGAAUUCCCGGUGUAGCGGUGAAAUGCGUAGAGAUCGGGAGGAAUACCAGUGGCGAAGGCGGCCUUCUGGACUGACACUGACACUGAGGUGCGAAAGCGUGGGUAGCAAACAGGAUUAGAUACCCUGGUAGUCCACGCCGUAAACGAUGUCGACCAGCCGUUGGGUGCCUAGCGCACUUUGUGGCGAAGUUAACGCGAUAAGUCGACCGCCUGGGGAGUACGGCCGCAAGGUUAAAACUCAAAUGAAUUGACGGGGGCCCGCACAAGCGGUGGAGCAUGUGGUUUAAUUCGAUGCAACGCGAAGAACCUUACCUACCCUUGACAUCUACAGAAGCCGGAAGAGA
This 981-nucleotide ribosomal RNA is filed under the name uncultured bacterium. RNAcentral's name for it is "bacterial SSU rRNA". It matches the Rfam family "Bacterial small subunit ribosomal RNA", at positions 28 to 1006 of the family's 1533-position model. The record is from RNAcentral.